GUGAAUCAUCGAAUCUUUGAACGCACAUUGCGCCCUUUGGCAUUCCGAGGGGCAUGCCUGUUCGAGCGUCAUGAUCAAACCUUCAAGCCUUGCUUGGUAUUGGGCUUUCGUCUCUCCUGCCUGUGUGCAGGUAAGUGGCGUGCCUGAAAGUCACUAGCAGUGCCUCAAUAGACUCAAGCGUAGCAGACUGUACUCGCUUUGGAGGCCCUUUGUAGAGACACUGUUAACAAAACAAUCAUGUUGGACCUCGGAUCAGGUAGGGAUACCCGCUGAACUUAAGCAUAUCAAUAAGCGGAGGA
Molecule: unclassified non-coding RNA, 299 nt
Filed under: Geoglossum sp.
Lineage: Eukaryota; Fungi; Ascomycota; Geoglossomycetes; Geoglossales; Geoglossaceae
Description: partial contains 5.8S ribosomal RNA, internal transcribed spacer 2, and large subunit ribosomal RNA
Rfam family: 5.8S ribosomal RNA (bases 1-71)
Source: RNAcentral